CUAACACAUGCAAGUCGAACGAAGCACUGUGGAUAGAGACUUCGGUCAAUUGAAGCUUUGACUUAGUGGCGGACGGGUGAGUAACGCGUGAGGAACCUGCCUUUCAGAGGGGGACAACAGUUGGAAACGACUGCUAAUACCGCAUGACACAGCGAGAUCGCAUGGUCUUGCUGUCAAAGAUUUAUCGCUGAAAGAUGGCCUCGCGUCUGAUUAGAUAGUUGGUGAGGUAACGGCCCACCAAGUCGACGAUCAGUAGCCGGACUGAGAGGUUGAACGGCCACAUUGGGACUGAGAUACGGCCCAGACUCCUACGGGAGGCAGCAGUGGGGAAUAUUGGGCAAUGGGGGAAACCCUGACCCAGCAACGCCGCGUGAAGGAAGAAGGCUUUCGGGUUGUAAACUUCUUUUACCAGGGACGAAGAACGUGACGGUACCUGGAGAAAAAGCCACGGCUAACUACGUGCCAGCAGCCGCGGUAAUACGUAGGUGGCAAGCGUUGUCCGGAUUUACUGGGUGUAAAGGGCGUGUAGGCGGGAGAGCAAGUCAGAAGUGAAAUCUAUGGGCUUAACCCAUAAACUGCUUUUGAAACUGUUCUUCUUGAGUAUCGGAGAGGCAGGCGGAAUUCCUAGUGUAGCGGUGAAAUGCGUAGAUAUUAGGAGGAACACCAGUGGCGAAGGCGGCCUGCUGGACGACAACUGACGCUGAGGCGCGAAAAGCGUGGGGAGCAAACAGGAUUAGAUACCCUGGUAGUCCACGCUGUAAACGAUGAAUACUAGGUGUGGGGGGACUGACCCCUUCCGUGCCGCAGUUAACACAAUAAGUAUUCCACCUGGGGAGUACGAUCGCAAGAUUGAAACUCAAAGGAAUUGACGGGGGCCCGCACAAGCAGUGGAUUAUGUGGUUUAAUUCGACGCAACGCGAAGAACCUUACCGGGAUUUGACAUCCUACUAACGAAGUAGAGAUACAUUAGGUGCCCUUCGGGGAAAGUAGAGACAGGUGGUGCAUGGUUGUCGUCAGCUCGUGUCGUGAGAUGUUGGGUUAAGUCCCGCAACGAGCGCAACCCUUAUGGUCAGUUACUACGCAAGAGGACUCUGGCCAGACUGCCGUUGACAAAACGGAGGAAGGUGGGGAUGACGUCAAAUCAUCAUGCCCUUUAUGACUUGGGCUACACACGUACUACAAUGGCGUUAAACAAAGAGAAGCAAGACCGCGAGGUGGAGCAAAACUCAGAAACAACGUCCCAGUUCGGACUGCAGGCUGCAACUCGCCUGCACGAAGUCGGAAUUGCUAGUAAUCGUGGAUCAGCAUGCCACGGUGAAUACGUUCCCGGGCCUUGUACACACCGCCCGUCACACCAUGAGAGCCGGGGGGACCCGAAGUCGGUAGUCUAACCGCAAGGAGGACGCCGCCGAAGGUAAAACUGGUGAUUGGGGUGAAA
This 1438-nucleotide ribosomal RNA is filed under the name uncultured organism. RNAcentral describes it as "SSU rRNA". It matches the Rfam family "Bacterial small subunit ribosomal RNA". The record is from RNAcentral.